GCAUCCUCGGAGCAUCCUGCAUCCCACCGCUCUUCCCGGGAACGCCCCCUCUGCGAUGCCAGGGAGAUGCUCCAGCAGCACCCGCCUGCCCCAUGGGAUGCCUGACCCCAUAGGAGGAUGCUGAGGAUGGUCUGGAUGAUGCCGAUUCUGCUUUUGGGAUCAAGCAGCCCGAGGCUCCGGACCCAAGCCCUGGGAUGCUCUGGAUGCUCUCUGAGCCCUGUGUCCAUGGGGACCGAAGGAAAGAGGAGCUCCCGGGUAGGUGCAGGGAUGAUGGGCACGGUGCAGCCGGUGCCGUCAGAUGGUGCAGCGGGUGAGGAGUCCUGCUUCCAGGGAUGCUGCUGCCUCCUGUCCUGCUCUGCAUCUCCCCCAGCACCGCGGUGCUGAGCCUGGGCAAGACACCAAGGAGCACCCAACUCAUCAGGGAGACCAAGGCACGGGGUAAGGCGGGAUGAGAUGUGCCGGGACGUGGGGUACCACGAGCUGCCGUCACCCCCUCUCCUCUCUUCUAGACCAAUGGAGCAGCACCCACAAGGUCUCCACCAGG
Molecule: long non-coding RNA, 544 nt
Organism: Pezoporus flaviventris
Lineage: Eukaryota; Metazoa; Chordata; Aves; Psittaciformes; Psittacidae
Exons: 3
Source: RefSeq, a predicted model, not a curated record